CUUACUGCCAUAACAUAAGGAUGAUUUGCAAAGCAGCCUUCUAAGUUAAAAUCUUUGAUUUUAUAAAUAAGGAUUCUGACUCUCAGAAGACUGAAUAUCACCCAGUACAGGCAACUGUGCUAUUUAAAAAGGUGAAAUUGAGAAACGGACUUGGCCCAGUGGUUAGGGCGUCCGUCUACCACAUGGGAGAUCCGCGGUUCAAACCCCGGGCCUCCUUGACCCGUGUGGAGCUGGCCCAUGUGCAGUGCUGAUGCGCGCAAGGAGUGCCCUGCCACGCAGGGGUGUCCCCCGCGUAGGGGAGCCCCACGCGCAAGGAGUGCGCCCCGUUAAGAAGAGCCGCCCAGCAUGAAGGAAAGUGCAGCCUGCCCAGGAAUGGCGCCGCCCACACUUCCCGUGCCGCUGAGGACAACAGAAGUGGACAAAGAAACAAGACGCAGCAAAUAGACACAGAGAAGAGACAACUGGGGGAGGGGGGGAAUUAAAUAAAUAAAUCUUUAAAAAAAUAAAAAAUAAAAAGAUGAAAUUGUGCCAGAUUGU
This 537-nucleotide long non-coding RNA is filed under the name Dasypus novemcinctus (nine-banded armadillo). Its description in RNAcentral is "lncRNA (ENSDNOG00000052183.1)". The stretch from base 152 to 209 matches the Rfam family "tRNA", at positions 8 to 63 of the family's 71-position model. Lineage: Eukaryota; Metazoa; Chordata; Mammalia; Cingulata; Dasypodidae. The record is from RNAcentral.